RNAcentral lists this ribosomal RNA (394 nucleotides) under uncultured bacterium. Its description in RNAcentral is "bacterial SSU rRNA". It matches the Rfam family "Bacterial small subunit ribosomal RNA", at positions 505 to 898 of the family's 1533-position model. The record is from RNAcentral.
GUGUCAGCAGCCGCGGUAAUACAGAGGGUGCUAGCGUUAAUCGGAUUUACUGGGCGUAAAGCGUGUGUAGGCGGUUCGUUAAGUCGGAUGUGAAAGCCCUGGGCUCAACCUGGGAAUUGCACUCGAUACUGGCGGGCUAGAGUACGGUAGAGGGCGGCGGAAUUCCGGGUGUAGCGGUGAAAUGCGUAGAUAUCCGGAGGAACACCGAUGGCGAAGGCAACCGCCUGGGCCUGUACUGACGCUGAGACACGAAAGCGUGGGGAGCAAACAGGAUUAGAUACCCUGGUAGUCCACGCCGUAAACGAUGAGAACUUGACGUCGGUUUGCUCUGCGAAUCGGUGUCGUAGCUAACGCGCUAAGUUCUCCGCCUGGGGAGUACGGCCGCAAGGUUGAA